GAUGAACGCUGGCGGCGUGCCUAAUACAUGCAAGUCGAGCGAACAGACGAGGCUCUUGCUCCUCUGACGUUAGCGGCGGACGGGAGAGUAACACGUGGAUCACCUACCUAUAAGACGGGGAUAACUUCGGGAAACCGGAGCUAAUACCGGAUGAUAUAUUGAACCACAUGGUUCAAUAGUGAAAGACGGUUUUGCUGUCUCUUAUAGAUGGAUCCGCGCCGCAUUAGCUAGUUGGUAAGGUAACGGCUUACCAAGGCAACGAGGCGUAGCCGACCUGAGAGAGUGGUCGCCCACACGGGAAGGGAGACACGGACCAGAGGCCUACGGGAGGCAGCAGUCGGGAAUCUGACGCAGUGGGCGAGAGCCUUACGGAGCAACGCCGCGCGAGUGAUGAAAGUCUUGGGAUCGUAAUACUCUGUUAUUAGGGAAGAACAAAUGUGUAAGUAACCAUGCACUGAGUGACGGUAACUAAUCAGAAAGCCACGGCUAACUACGUG
RNAcentral lists this ribosomal RNA (497 nucleotides) under uncultured bacterium. RNAcentral's name for it is "partial 16S ribosomal RNA". It matches the Rfam family "Bacterial small subunit ribosomal RNA", at positions 28 to 507 of the family's 1533-position model. The record is from RNAcentral.